CAAAUAGCUCAGUCAGCAGAGCAUGAGACUGUUAAUCUCAGGGACAUGGUUUGAGCCCCACAUUAGGUUAAAGA
Non-coding RNA from Podarcis lilfordi (Lilford's wall lizard), 74 nucleotides. Lineage: Eukaryota; Metazoa; Chordata; Lepidosauria; Squamata; Lacertidae. The record is from the annotation of a GenBank genome assembly.